This 338-nucleotide ribosomal RNA is filed under the name uncultured Leptolinea sp. RNAcentral describes it as "bacterial SSU rRNA". It matches the Rfam family "Bacterial small subunit ribosomal RNA", at positions 1030 to 1382 of the family's 1533-position model. Lineage: Bacteria; Bacillati; Chloroflexota; Anaerolineae; Anaerolineales; Anaerolineaceae. The record is from RNAcentral.
UUGCACAGGUGCUGCAUGGCUGUCGUCAGCUCGUGUCGUGAGAUGUUCGGUUAAGUCCGCUAACGAGCGCAACCCUCGCUGUGUGUUAUAUGUGUCACACGGGACUGCCGGUCUUAAGCCGGAGGAAGGUGGGGAUGAUGUCAAGUCAGCAUGGCCUUUAUGUCCAGGGCUACACACGUGCUACAAUGGUUGGUACAAAGGGUUGCCAAGCCGUGAGGCGGAGCCAAUCUCAAAAAGCCAACCUCAGUUCGGAUUGCAGUCUGCAACUCGACUGCAUGAAGUUGGAAUCGCUAGUAAUCGCUGAUCAGCAGGCAGCGGUGAAUACGUUCCCGGGCCUU